UGUUCUGCAUAAUUCUCCCAAUGACAAUGUUCAUCCCUGAGGCUGAGCUCCCAUCAUGGGUUGUAUGUUACAUUCCGGCAACUAUGUCAUUUCUCAACAUCCUCCCUUCUCCAAAAUCCUUCCCCUUCAUUGUCCCCUAUCUUCUCUUUGAGAACACCAUGUCAGUGACCAAGUUCAAUGCAAUGAUCUCAGGCCUAUUCCAGCUGGGAAGUGCAUAUGAAUGGGUUGUCACAAAGAAAUCUGGACGCUCCUCUGAGGGUGAUCUUGUCUCCCUAGUUGCAAAAGGCCCGAAGCAUCAAAGGGGAAGCUCAGAGCCUAAUAUUGGGGAGAUGGAGGAAACUUUACUGCAGGAACAAAAGGCCUCUAGGAAGAAAAAGCACAACAGGAUUUAUACAAAGGAGCUGGCAUUGGCUUUCCUUCUUCUAACAGCUUCAGCAAGGAGCCUCCUCUCUGCUCAGGGGAUCCACUUCUACUUCCUGCUAUUUCAGGGCAUAUCAUUUCUUCUGGUUGGUUUAGACUUGAUUGGAGAGC
RNAcentral lists this long non-coding RNA (531 nucleotides) under Vitis vinifera (wine grape). Its description in RNAcentral is "long non-coding RNA (VVIN_LNC005983)". The record is from RNAcentral. Lineage: Eukaryota; Viridiplantae; Streptophyta; Magnoliopsida; Vitales; Vitaceae.